This 526-nucleotide ribosomal RNA is filed under the name uncultured Pichia. Its description in RNAcentral is "eukaryotic LSU rRNA". It matches the Rfam family "Eukaryotic large subunit ribosomal RNA", at positions 99 to 651 of the family's 3401-position model. The record is from RNAcentral. Lineage: Eukaryota; Fungi; Ascomycota; Saccharomycetes; Saccharomycetales; Saccharomycetaceae.
CGGCAAGAGCUCAGAUUUGAAAUCGUGUUUCGGCACGAGUUGUAGAGUGUAGGCGGGAGUCUCUGUGGAGCGCGGUGUCCAAGUCCCUUGGAACAGGGUGCCUGAGAGGGUGAGAGCCCCGUAGGGUGCUGCGCGAAGCUUUUGAGGCCCUGCUGACGAGUCGAGUUGUUUGGGAAUGCAGCUCCAAGCGGGUGGUAAAUUCCAUCUAAGGCUAAAUAUUGGCGAGAGACCGAUAGCGAACAAGUACUGUGAAGGAAAGAUGAAAAGCACUUUGAAAAGAGAGUGAAACAGCACGUGAAAUUGUUGAAAGGGAAGGGUAUUGGGCUCGACAUGGGGGGUGCGCACCGCUGUCUCUUGUAGGCGGCGCUCUGGGCGCCCUCUGGGCCAGCAUCGGUUCCUGCUGCGGGAGAAGGGGCUCCGGAAAGUGGCUCUUCGGAGUGUUAUAGCCGGGGCCAGAUGCCGCGUGUGGGGACCGAGGACUGCGGCUUCUGUCUCGGAUGCUGGCAUAACGGCGCAAUACCGCCCG